This 549-nucleotide ribosomal RNA is filed under the name uncultured Dactylosporangium sp. RNAcentral's name for it is "bacterial SSU rRNA". It matches the Rfam family "Bacterial small subunit ribosomal RNA", at positions 575 to 1124 of the family's 1533-position model. The record is from RNAcentral. Lineage: Bacteria; Bacillati; Actinomycetota; Actinomycetes; Micromonosporales; Micromonosporaceae.
GCGGCUUGUUGCGUCAGCUGUGAAAGCCCAUGGCUUAACUGUGGGUUGGCAGCUGAUACGGGCAGGCUAGAGUUCGGUAGGGGAGACUGGAAUUCCUGGUGUAGCGGUGAAAUGCGCAGAUAUCAGGAGGAACACCGGUGGCGAAGGCGGGUCUCUGGGCCGAUACUGACGCUGAGGAGCGAAAGCGUAGGGAGCGAACAGGAUUAGAUACCCUGGUAGUCCACGCUGUAAACGUUGGGCGCUAGGUGUGGGGGGCCUCUCCGGUUUCCUGUGCCAUAGCUAACGCAUUAAGCGCCCCGCCUGGGGAGUACGGCCGCAAGGCCAAAACUCAAAGGAAUUGACGGGGGCCCGCACAAGCGGCGGAGCAUGCGGAUUAAUUCGAUGCGACGCGAAGAACCUUACCUGGGUUUGACAUGGCCGUUAAAGCCGCAGAGAUGUGGUGUCCUUCGGGGGCGGUCACAGGUGGUGCAUGGCUGUCGUCAGCUCGUGUCGUGAGAUGUUGGGUUAAGUCCCGCAACGAGCGCAACCCUUGUUCGAUGUUGCCAGCGG